UAAGCAUUAGGAUUCUUUUAAGUCAAAGUAAUUAUAUUAAAUACAAUAGAUGUGCUAGUCAAAUGCUGGAAAAAUUCGUAGAACUUGUGCCUCAGUAUUACGAUGAUGAUUUCCUUUUCAUUGCUUAACACAUCUCGCAAGUGAUACCGUAAAUUUUGGAUGUCUUGAAUCUUUUAGUGCAUUUAAAUUUGAAAAUUACUUAUGGAAAUUGAAAAGAAAGAUAAAAAAGCAUAACCAUGUCGUCUCACAAGUAUACAAUCGUUUAGUUGAGGACAGUUUUAGGUCAAACAAUACUAUGAAUCCAUCGACUGAAAUUAAAAAAGGAAAAUUUAGAAAUGAUUCAUUAAUAUUUGUACAAUCUUCAAAGUUUUACUUUUCGCCGAAAGAACCUGAUAACUUUUACAGCGUUAAGUGCAAAAUAUUUAAAUUAGUAGCUAUAAAUAAAGCCACAAAGCUACUUGGAAAGGAAGUUCUGAAUUUACAGGAUUAUUUUGAAACACCUAUCUCAUCAGGAAUUCUCAAUAUCAAGUCAUGUGAAGUCCUAAAAAUUUCGUCUUCCGUCUAUCAUCACAACUUAGAUGAAAUAUCAGAAAAAAUUAUAAAAUUUAGUAACUAAGAGUCUAACAUCAACUUGUUCAUUCUUUUCCUUCAUUAUUUUUUUUUUUGAUAUUUAAAUAUUUGUAAGCAUUAAGAACAUAUAAACGUACAUAAAUUAUUCGGACAGAAAAUGGAUUUUAACCACAUCAUAGAAGAAGCAUAAGAAAAUACUCCUGUAACUAAAAAAGAUAUUGAUUUGCUUGAGAAAAGGAUAUUGGACCGUAUAAAACAGUCGGAAAAUAAAAUACUGAAAGAAAUAGACCACAAUCAAAAAUCCGUAAAGAGGGCCCUGACACGAAUUUUGCAAGAAACAAAGCAGACUACAAAGACAAGCCACAAAUCACGAAGUGAGCUGCUCCUGAAAGUUCCAUUUGAUAACUUGGAACAAUUUCAAAAUUUUGAAAAAGAUAUACAGGAGCAUUCCAGAAAAUUUAAUGAACUGAAGGAGGGAUUUUUCACAGUAUCUGUCCACACAGCUGAAAAGUUCGUAAAAAAUGCUUGGCGCCAAAUUUUUACCGAUGGUGUUGCGCAGAAUUUGUGUUGGAAGGGUACGAAGAUAAAAUGGCUGUGAGACCCUUAAGUGUAACAGCUGCCUUAAAAAGUACAUUUUCGUCUAAAUUCCCUCAUGCGACAGAUAUAGAUUUUGAGCGCACCUCUAGCAUGCUAAAGGACGCCACAUGAAGAAAAAGGCAUACGACUCCAAAAAAACAAAAACGUAAAAAUUAAA
Long non-coding RNA from Bactrocera tryoni, 1324 nucleotides. RefSeq lists it as uncharacterized. The record is from RefSeq and is a predicted model, not a curated record. The transcript is spliced from 5 exons. Lineage: Eukaryota; Metazoa; Arthropoda; Insecta; Diptera; Tephritidae.